GCACUAAUGCACCGGAUCC
RNAcentral lists this small nuclear RNA (19 nucleotides) under Arabidopsis thaliana (thale cress). RNAcentral describes it as "snRNA_10045". Lineage: Eukaryota; Viridiplantae; Streptophyta; Magnoliopsida; Brassicales; Brassicaceae. The record is from RNAcentral.